RNAcentral lists this long non-coding RNA (5736 nucleotides) under Triticum aestivum (bread wheat). RNAcentral's name for it is "long non-coding RNA (TAES_LNC015085)". Lineage: Eukaryota; Viridiplantae; Streptophyta; Magnoliopsida; Poales; Poaceae. The record is from RNAcentral.
UAGGGUUUGGCAGUGGCAAAUGACAAGUGAAACUCGGUGGCGCCGGAUUGACAGAAUCGGUAUGACCGAGUUUGGCUUAGGGUUUAGGUCAUUUGUGGAAGUGAGAAAGUAGCUGAGGAUUUUGGAGCAUAUCAUUAAGCACAUAAAGCAAGAGGCUCAUUAAGCAACACCUCAUGCCUUCUUGAUAGUAUUGGCUUUUCCUAAAGACUCAAUGUGAUCUUGGAUCACUAAAAUAUAUAAAAUGAAGAGUCUUGAGCUUGAAGCUUUAGCCAAUCCUUUGUCCUUAGCAUCUUGAAGAGGUUCCCACAACCUUUAGUCCAUGCCACUCCAUUGUUGAACUUAUCUGAAAUAUACUAGGUAAAGGUAUUAGUCCAACAAGAGAUAUGUUGUCAUCAAUUACCAAAACCACCUAGGGAGCACUUGUGCUUUCAAUCUCCCCCUUUUUGGUAAUUGAUGGCAACAUACAUCAAAGCUUUAGAUAAAGAUAUAAAGAACAACAAGUAAAGCUUUGGAAGGACAUGUAACAAGCAUAGGCUCCCCCUACAUGUAUGCACUCAUGUGAAUAUGAAAUAUAGAGGCAUGUGAGGGCAUAACCAUGACAGAGUGGGCAAUGUGUUACAUGUAUCUUGGCCAUAUGCAUCAGAGUAAAAGAUUGUUAAGGAAAAUACCUUCAUGCUCAUGAGUCCUUCUUGCAAACAGUAUGUACAUAAGCAAGAACUUCUCAUACUCAUGAUUUUGAUGCAUACACUUACCUUGUAGUCUUUGGUUGACUUAGGACGGAAUGAACCUGCACAAACAAGGUUAGAUAACACAGGUACAUCCACUAGCCAGAGUAAACUGAAGAAACCACAAGAAUACCAAGACUGGGAUGACAUGUAGAGAGUAAGUACUAGGUACUGCAUUGAAUUCAACAUGUCCCCAAGAGUAAAGAUAUGCAAUGAAUUUGACUGAUUUCUUUCCCAUAGGUGUCUUGCUCCCCCUGAAUCUUAUAUGGGAUAUUGGGAGAAGAUAGGGAAUAGAAAAUCAGAGCUGAAAGAAACAAAACAAAUGAACAUGUCUUUCCCCCUAAAAAGACAUGUGACAUCUCUCCUCUUGAUCAUCAAGCAUCUGGGAUCCUUGAGUAUUGUCUCUCCCCCUAGGGAUCUCUUUCUCCCCCUUAAUACAUUAUCUGGGACAUCUGGGAUCCUUGAGAUGUUCUCUCCCCCUUUAGUGCUUUGAUGUGAUCUCUUUCUCCCCGAAGAUAAGCUUUGAUGUGAUCUCUCUCUCCCCCUUUGACAUCAAUUUCCAAGAAGGUUCUUCUGGAAUCCGUCCAAAAAGUUUGGUCCUUGAGACUCAGCAUAAAGCAAAGAAUAAAAUUGGGAUGCUUGUAGAGGACAAGAUUCAUUGAGUGGAGCUGGAUCAGAAGAAUUAUAGGUUGUGUGACAAACUGUUUUUCCUGUUGCGAAGUCGGUGGCACCGAGUGGUAUGAUUCGGUGGUACCGAAGGAAUUCGGUUGGACCGAAAAUUACAAUUUGGUGAGACCGAGUUCACACAGAGAAAAACACUUGUCACCUCAGCUCACUAGACAUGCAGGAUCUCACAAAGAUUUGCAAUGAAUUGAAUGCGGAAAAUGCAGAAUAAAAAGAAAAGAAAAGAAACUGAAGGAUCUAGAUGAAGUAGAAGGAAACAAAUAAACAAGCAUGAGACAAAUGCAGUAACACAGAAAGAAACACAAGAGAACUUCAUCUAGAGUUGGGCGGUGACAUAGUCACCUAUGUUAGAGUAUAUUGACUUAGGAGUCAAGUGAGAACACUUGAUCAUAGGUCAUACUCAUCGUUUAAGCUCAAAAUGGGGUUGCCAUUUUUCGUUUAAGCAUCUUGAUGUAUUCACAUCUUGUUGAGUUGCUUUGACUCAUGUCUUGGAGUAAAGCUUCUCUAAGAUGGGAUAACAUACCUUGGGUGGUGGAGUGGUUCUUGCUGAUGUAGUUGAACUUGUGUGGGUGCUCAAGGUUGAUGUAGUCCAUCAAGAAUUUGGAGCACCACUUGGAGUUUGAGUUCAUCUACCUACAUGGGUUAGUUCUUGCAAGGAAGAGCACUUGUGUAUCCAAAAAUGACAAUCAUGAAGCUCAACAUAGAAUUUGUCAAAGGAUAUGUUUGAAUGGUUUUGUGCUUCCUUGUCUUCAACCACCAUUGUGUAGAGACUUGGUGAUGUAAAGAUUGCUCAAGAUGUGAGUGAGUCACAAUCCCAUGGAAUUAGUUUCAACCAAGUACCUACAUGGGUUAGACAACAUGCAAGGUACAAAUAUAUCCAAGACAUAAGAUAGUCAUCAUAAGAGAUAUAUCAUGGAUUAGUCAUAAGCUCAUGUCUUGCAUGUGUCCAAUGGAGUUCCUACUCCACGUUUGAAGCAUCAAUGAUGUUCAAUUCUCCUCUUAGCCUGCAAAAUACUUUCUCAUCAAGUGGUUUAGUGAAUAUAUCCGCUAAUUGCUUGUCAGUGCGAGCAUGCUUAAGAUUAAUGUCACCCUUAGCAACAUGAUCUCGAAUGAAAUGAUGACGAACUUCAAUAUGCUUAGUUCGAGAAUGUUGUACGGGAUUAUGACCAAUUUUGAUAGCACUUUCAUUGUCACAAAGCAGUGGAACAUGUUCCACAUAAAUUCCAUAAUCUUUAAGAGUUUGGGUCAUCCAAAGUAAUUGAGCACAACAUGAACCAGCGGCAAUGUAUUCCGCUUCGGCGGUGGAUAAGGAUACCGAGUUUUGUUUCUUGGAGGACCAAGACACAAGAGAUCUGCCAAGAAAUUGACAGGUACCCGAAGUGGACUUCCUACCAACCUUGUCUCUGGCAUAAUCCGAGUCAGAAUAGCCAACAAGAUCAAAAGAAGACCUCUUAGGAUACCAAAUGCCAAAGUUUGGUGUGUGAAUUAAGUAUCUCACUAUCCUUUUCACAGCCUUAAGAUGACAUUCUUUAGGAGCAGCUUGAUAUCGUGCACACAUUCAUACACUUAGCAUAAUAUCGGGACGUGAAGCACAUAGGUAUAGUAAUGAACCAAUCAUAGAACGAUAAACCUUUUGAUCAACCGGUUCACCACCUUUGGUCAAAUCAUUAUGUCCACUAGUGGGCAUGGGUGUAGACAUACCUUUGCACUCUUGCAUAUUGAACUUCUUGAAUAAGUCCUUGGUGUACUUCGUUUGAGAGACAAAUGUACCUUCCUUAGUUUGCUUGAUUUGCAAACCAAGAAAGAAUUUGAGUUCACUCAUCAUAGACAUCUCAUACUUCUGUGACAUUAGCUUUCCAAACUUUUCACUAAAGAGAGGGUUAGUUGAACCAAAUAUGAUAUCAUCAACAUAGAUUUGACAUACAAAUAGUUCUCCAUUAACCCUUUUAGUGAAGAGAGUAGAAUCAAUUUUACCAAUUUCAAAACCACUUGCAAUAAGGAACUUGGUCAAGCAUUUAUACCAUGCUCUAGGAGCUUGUUUAAGACCAUAAAGAGCUUUGUGAAGUUUGUAAACAUGAUUAGGUUUCUUAGGAUUGACAAAGCCGGGAGGUUGUUUGACAUAAAAUUCCUCCUCUAUUUCACCAUUUAAAAAAGCACUCUUAAUGUCCAUUUGGUACAAGGUGAUAUUAUGGUGAUUAGCAUAGGCAAGUAAGAUGCGAAUGGACUCAAGUCUAGCAACGGGAGCAUAUGUCUCACCAUAGUCCAUACCUUCGACUUGUGUGUACCCUUGGGCGACGAGACGUGCUUUGUUGCGGACCACUUUUCCAUCUUCAUCUUGCUUGUUGCGAAACACCCAUUUGGUACCAAUGAUGUUGUGGUUGUUGUCGGGCUUCUCAACCAAUGUCCAAACUUGGUUUCUCUCAAAAUUGUGUAGCUCUUCAUGCAUAGCGUUUAUCCAAUCCGGAUCUUCCAAUGCUUCUUCAACCUUCAUAGGUUCAUUUCUAGAGAUGAAUGAAUAGUUUUCACAAAAGUUAGCUAAACGAGUUUUUGAGCGAGUGAUUCUCCCGGUUUGUAUAUCAUUGAGGAUUUGCUCGACGGGAUGAUCUUUGGCAAUUCUUGCUCGAACUCGUGAGAGCUUUUGCUUGGGUCUUCGUUGAGCAUCUUCUUCAUCUUGUUCUUCUUCUUGGCCUUCUUCAUUGUUGACGUUGUCAUUCUCUUGUCGUGGUGGGGAAGGAGGUUGUUGAUGUUCGUCUUGAUGUACUUCCUCGUCUUCUUCAUCUUGGUGUGUCCCACUUGUGGAUGCUUCCGUGUCGAUUCUUGGUUCACCUUGUCGUGAAGUAGAAGCUUCCACUUGGACGGAUGACGUACUCUCCUUCACCUCCGUUGGACGAACUUUGCCAAUGGACAAGUCUUGGAUUGCUUCUGAAGGGUCUUUGUCUCCUACAUCAAUUGGCAAUUGCUCUACUUGCGAGCCAUUAGAUUCAUCAAACUUCACAUCUACCGUCUCUUCAACCUUUCGGGUGAAAUUGUUGUAGACACGGUAAGUGUGAGAGUUUGAGCCAUAACCGAGUAGGAAGCCUUCAUGAGAUUUAGGAGCAAACUUUGAACGACGAUGCUUAUCAAGAAUGUAGCACUUUGAGCCGAAUACUCGAAAGUAUCCAACUUGGGGUUUGUUACCAGUGAGGAGCUCGUAUGCUGUCUUGCCGAGUAGCUUGUGAAGAUACAAGCGAUUUGUUGCGUGACAAGCUGUCUCAACCGCUUCUGCCCAAAAGUGUUUUGGCGUCUUGUAUUCAUCAAGCAUCGUUCUUGCCAUUUCGAUGAGCGUCUGGUUCUUCCUCUCAACAACUCCAUUUUGUUGAGGUGUGUACGUAGCCGAGAACUCAUGUGAAAUCCCUUCUUCGUCAAGAAAGGUGUCCACAUUUGCGCUCUUGAACUCCGUUCCGUUGUCACUCCGAACCUUCUUGAUCUUCACUUCAAACUGAUUUUGGGCUUUCCUAGCAAAGUUUUUGAAGAUCUUCUGGACCUGCGACUUGUCAUUCAGAAAGAACACCCACGUAAAUCUUGAAAAAUCAUCAACUAUAACUAGACCAACAGAAUUUCCACCGAGACUUUUGUAGGCGUUGGGACCAAAAAGAUCCAUAUGAAGUAGCUCGAGUGGCCUCCUUGUGGUCAUGAUGUUCUUCACAGGAUGCCUUCCUCCAACCUGUUUACCUGCUUGACAAGCACUGCAAAGUCUAUCCUUAUCAAAUAUGACAUCGUUAACUCCAAGGAUAUGAUUUCCUUUAAUAAGCUUGUCAAGAUUUCUCAUGCCAACGUGACCUAGUCGUCUAUGCCACAACCAACCUUUUGAGGAUUUAGCAAUGAAGAAAGUUUUAGGUUGUGCCUUUUUAGAGAAAUCGACAAUGUAAAGAUCACCUCUACGCAUAUCGGUAAAGACCAUUUUAUGAUUGUCUCGACGAAACACUUGGCAAUCUACCUCAGUAAAUAGAACAUUUAGGCCAAAAUCAGCAAGUCUAGAUACUGAAAGUAAAUUGUAGCCGAGAGAUUCAACGAGCAUGACAUUUUGAAUGGAACUAUCAUGUGAGAUGGCCACCUUACCAAGGCCAACUACUUUACCCUUUGAAUUAUCACCAAAGGUGACAUAUUUUCGAGGGACGUCAUUUUCAGCAAGCUCACGGAACAUCUCUUCAUCUCCGGUCAUAUGAUCAGUACAUCCACUAUCAAGAACCCACUCCAUUGUUGAACUUAUCUGAAAUAUACUAGGUAAAGGUAUUAGUCCAACAAGAGAUAUGUUGUCAUCAAUUACCAAAACCACCUAGGGAGCACU